Molecule: ribosomal RNA, 475 nt
Filed under: uncultured bacterium
Lineage: Bacteria
Description: bacterial SSU rRNA
Rfam family: Bacterial small subunit ribosomal RNA
Source: RNAcentral
GAUGAAUGCUGGCGGCGUGCCUAAUACAUGCAAGUCGAGCGGUAAGGCCCUUCGGGGUACACGAGCGGCGGACGGCUGAGUAACGCGUGGGAACAUGCCCCAAAGUGAGGGAUAACGCACCGAAAGGUGUGCUAAUACCGCAUAUGGUCUUCGGAUUAAAGGAUUUUAUCCGCUUUUGGGAGUGGCCCGCGUACGAUUAGAUUGUUGGUGAGGUAACGGCUCACCAAGUCGACGAUCGUUAACUGGUCUGAGAGGAUGAUCAGUCAGACUGGAACUGAGACACGGUCCAGACUCCUACGGGAGGCAGCAGUAAGGAAUCUUCCACAAUGGGCGAAAGCCUGAUGGAGCAACGCCGCGUGCAGGGAUGAAGGCCCUCGGGUCGUAAACUGCUUUUAUGAGUGAAGAAUAUGACGGUAACUCAUGAAUAAGCAACCGGCUAACUACGUGCCAGCAGCCGUCGGUAAGCUCGUCUCUA